GGGUGGACUAGAUGAUCUUUAAAGGUCCCUUCCAACCCAAACCGUGCUAUGUUACUAUGAAAUAAAGUGCAAGCCUGACAGUUUUGUGGCUCAAUGCGCUAGACUAUGCUGAAUUUAGGACUACAUACAAGAUGGAGAACAUAGAAAAAUUUACCAAUACCCUUGAUGUAUUUCAUAAUGACCAGAAAAC
Molecule: long non-coding RNA, 190 nt
Organism: Harpia harpyja (harpy eagle)
Lineage: Eukaryota; Metazoa; Chordata; Aves; Accipitriformes; Accipitridae
Exons: 2
Source: RefSeq, a predicted model, not a curated record